GACGAACGCUGGCGGCGUGCUUAACACAUGCAAGUCGAACGGAAAGGCCCCUUUGGGGGUACUCGAGUGGCGAACGGGUGAGUAACACGUGAGUAACCUGCCCUUGACUUCGGGAUAACUUCAGGAAACUGGGGCUAAUACCGGAUAGGAAUCCUUGCUGCAUGGUGGGGGUUGGAAAGCUUCGGCGGUUUUGGAUGGACUCGCGGCUUAUCAGCUUGUUGGUGGGGUAGUGGCUUACCAAGGCUUUGACGGGUAGCCGGCCUGAGAGGGCGACCGGCCACAUUGGGACUGAGAUACGGCACAGACUGCGACGGGAGGCAGCAGUGGGGAAGAUUGCACAAUGGGCGGAAGACUGAUGCAGCAACGCCGCGUGCGGGAUGACGGCCUUCGGGUUGUAAACCGCUUUCAGCAGGAGCGAAGCUUGUGGUGACGGUACCUGCAGAAGAAGCACCGGCUAACUACGUG
Molecule: ribosomal RNA, 465 nt
Filed under: uncultured bacterium
Lineage: Bacteria
Description: partial 16S ribosomal RNA
Rfam family: Bacterial small subunit ribosomal RNA
Source: RNAcentral